UACGAACUGUGCAAACGUUAUUCGGAAUCACUGGGCUUAAAGGGUGCGUAGGCGGCUUGUUAAGUAGGGUGUGAAAUCCCCCGGCUCAACCGGGGAAUUGCGCCCUAAACUGGCGAGCUGGAGUGAGAUAGGGGUGUGUGGAACUUCCAGUGGAGCGGUGAAAUGCGUAGAGAUGCGGAGGAACACCGAUGGCGAAGGCAGCCCCCUGGGCUGACACUGACGCUCAGGCACGAAAGCGUGGGGAGCAAACAGG
RNAcentral lists this ribosomal RNA (253 nucleotides) under uncultured bacterium. RNAcentral describes it as "partial 16S ribosomal RNA". It matches the Rfam family "Bacterial small subunit ribosomal RNA", at positions 524 to 776 of the family's 1533-position model. The record is from RNAcentral.